AUGGCGAAGGGGACGACGGAGAUGGAGGUCGGGUCCGACGGCGUCGCCGUCAUCUACGUCGCCAACCCGCCCGUGAACGCCCUCUCCAUCGACGUCUGGUAUAGCUUGAAACGGCACUAUGAAGAGGCGCUUCAAAGGGAAGAUGUGAAAGCUAUUGUUCUUACAGGAAGUGGAAGGUCAUUUUCUGCUGGACUCGACGUUAGUGUCUUCGCUGAUAUUCACAAACCGGAGCAGCUAAAGGAUCACUGCAUAUUGAUUGAAGCCAUGACUGAUAUUUUCGAAGAUGCUGGGAAACCAUCAGUGGCUGCUAUUGAUGGCCCUGCUCUUGGUGGAGGUUUAGAAAUUUCCAUGGUAUGCCAAGCACGCAUUUCAACUUCUAAUGCUCAAUUAGGCCUCACGGAGCUUCAGUUUGGAGUAAUACCUGGAUUUGGAGGAACACAGCGCCUUCCCCGCCUUGUUGGACUGACAAAAGCACUUGAAAUGAUGAUGCUCUCGAAGCCAAUAAAAGCUGAAGAAGCCCAUGAGCUGGGUCUUGUCGACGCUGUUGUUUCACCUAACGAUUUGUUGAAUGAUGCCCGCCGUUGGGCUUUGGACAUCUGUGAGUCCAAAAGGCCAUGGGUCCGAGCCCUCUACAAAACUGACAAGCUUGAAUCCCCUGAGGUGGCCAGAGAGAUCCUCAAUUCUGCCAGAGUUCAGUCUCGGAAGCAGGCUGCCAAUCUUCAGCAUCCACUCGUCUGUAUCGAUGCUGUCGAAGAAGGUAUAGUUUCAGGGCCACGAGCCGGGCUUCGGAAGGAAGCCAUGGCUUUUCAGGAACUCUUUUUCUCAGGUACAUGCAAAAGCUUGAUUCAUGUGUUCUUUUCACAACGUGCGACAUCAAAGCAGGUUCCUGGGGUCACAGACUUAGGUUUGAUGCCAAGGAAGGUAUCUAAAGUUGCCAUUGUUGGUGGUGGACCUAUGGGUUCUGGAAUCGCAACCACGCUGAUACUAAGCCAUUAUCCUGUUAUACUCAAAGAAAUCAAUGAGAAAUUCCUAAACGCAGGAAUUGGCAGGAUCAAAGAAAACUUGCAGAGUCGUGUAAGGAAAGGAAAAAUGACCAAGGACAACUAUGACAAGACCCUCUCACUUCUUACAGGUGUCCUCGAUUAUGAAAAAUUCAAGAGUGUUGACUUAGCAAUCGAGACAGUCGUAGAGAAUGUGAAGUUGAAGCAGCAGAUUUUUGCUGAGUUGGAGCAACACUGUCCUUCCCAUUGUAUUCUUGCCACCAACACUUCCACCAUUGAUCUUGACCUGAUCGGAGAGAAGACAAAUUCCCAAGACCGCAUUGUUGGCACACACUUCUUCGCUCCAGCUCAUAUCAUGCCUCUUCUCGAGAUAGUCCGCACCCCUCGUGCCUCUCUGCAAGCAGUUGUCACCAUGCUGGAUGUGGGGAAGAAGAUCAAGAAGACACCAAUAGUGGUCGGAAACUGUACCGGCUUCGCGGUUAACCGGAUGUUCUUUCCGUACACUCAGGCAGCACUCUUACUUGUUGAUCAUGGAAUGGAUGUUGACAAGAUCGAUCAGGCUUGUAUUGAAUUCGGGAUGCCAAUUGGUCCAUUCAGAAUGACAGAUCUGGUUGGUUUUGACGUUGCUCUAGCCACAGGCAUGCAGUACCUUGAAAACUUCCCUGAGCGGGUCUACAAGUCAAUGCUGAUUCCUCUCAUGACUGAAGACAAAAGAACAGGUGAAGCCUCCCAAAAGGGGUUUUACAAGUAUGAGGGUAAGAGGAAGGCGAGCCCUGAUCCUGAAAUCACGAGCUAUGUCGAGGAGUCGAGGAGAAUUUCAGGAGCCACACCUGAUCCUGAGUUGCUCAAGAUUGACAACAGCGCGAUAGCAGAGAUGGUGUUCUUCCCGGUUAUCAACGAAGCCUGCCGUGUCCUGGGCGAGGGCAUUGCCUUCAAGGCCUCUGACCUCGACAUCGCCUCCAUCUUCGGAAUGGGUUUCCCGCCAUACAGGGGUGGCAUCAUGCACUGGGCGGAUUCCAUCGGCGCAAGGCGCAUUUGCACGAUGCUGUCGGAGUGGGAGAUGGAGUAUGGCCAGUUCUUCAAACCUUGCAGCCACCUGUUGGAGAGGGCGGCUGAAGGUCUUCCUCUGAGCGCAUCGGCGACGAAGACGAUGAACAACCAGGCCAAGGGCAAGCUGUAG
This 2181-nucleotide ribosomal RNA is filed under the name Triticum aestivum (bread wheat). Its description in RNAcentral is "partial small subunit ribosomal RNA". Lineage: Eukaryota; Viridiplantae; Streptophyta; Magnoliopsida; Poales; Poaceae. The record is from RNAcentral.